CAGUCGCCGCGGUAAUACGUAGGUGGCAAGCGUUGUCCGGAAUUAUUGGGCGUAAAGGGCUCGCAGGCGGUUUCUUAAGUCUGAUGUGAAAGCCCCCGGCUCAACCGGGGAGGGUCAUUGGAAACUGGGAAACUUGAGUGCAGAAGAGGAGAGUGGAAUUCCACGUGUAGCGGUGAAAUGCGUAGAGAUGUGGAGGAACACCAGUGGCGAAGGCGACUCUCUGGUCUGUAACUGAUGCUGAGGAGCGAAAGCGUGGGGAGCGAACAGGAUUAGAUACCCGAGUAGUCCCUGUCUCUUAUAC
Molecule: ribosomal RNA, 301 nt
Filed under: uncultured bacterium
Lineage: Bacteria
Description: partial 16S ribosomal RNA
Rfam family: Bacterial small subunit ribosomal RNA
Source: RNAcentral